RNAcentral lists this ribosomal RNA (275 nucleotides) under uncultured bacterium. RNAcentral describes it as "partial 16S ribosomal RNA". It matches the Rfam family "Bacterial small subunit ribosomal RNA", at positions 523 to 796 of the family's 1533-position model. The record is from RNAcentral.
AGACGGAGGGCGCAAGCGUUGUGCGGAAUUACUGGGCGUAAAGCGCGGGCAGGCGGUCUGUAAAGUCUUCUGUGAAAACCCGGGGCUCAACCCCGUGGAAUGCAGAGGAUACUGGCAGACUGGAGACCGGUAGAGGCUAGCGGAAUUCCUGGUGUAGCGGUGGAAUGCGUAGAUAUCAGGAAGAACACCUGUGGCGAAGGCGGCUAGCUGGGCCGGGUCUGACGCUCAUCCGCGAAAGCGUGGGGAGCAAACAGGAUUAGAUACCCUAGUAGUCC